Molecule: long non-coding RNA, 248 nt
Organism: Ipomoea nil (Japanese morning glory)
Lineage: Eukaryota; Viridiplantae; Streptophyta; Magnoliopsida; Solanales; Convolvulaceae
Exons: 4
Source: RefSeq, a predicted model, not a curated record
UGAUGAGGAUGAAGAUGAUGGACUCAAUGAUGGUGAGAAGAGGUCAGCUAUCUUGGAACAACUUGAUUCUCAUGGAUCACAGGUUAUGCAACGUGGUCUGGUGGAAGGACAGGAAGAUAGGCAAAAAUCCAAGAAAGAAGUGAUGGAAGAAAUCAUUUUGAAGAGUAAAUUCUUCAAGGCUCAAAAAGCAAAGGAUAAAGAAGAAAAUGAGCAGUUGGUUGAAGAAUUGGACAAAGAUUUCACAUCCA